This 218-nucleotide unclassified non-coding RNA is filed under the name Arthrobacter subterraneus. RNAcentral describes it as "contains 16S-23S intergenic spacer region". Lineage: Bacteria; Bacillati; Actinomycetota; Actinomycetes; Micrococcales; Micrococcaceae. The record is from RNAcentral.
UCCGAGUUGACCCCGGCAGUCUCCCAUGAGUCCCCGGCAUAACCCGCUGGCAACAUGGAACGAGGGUUGCGCUCGUUGCGGGACUUAACCCAACAUCUCACGACGCGAGCUGACGACAACCAUGCACCACCUGUAAACCGGCCACAAGUGGCCGACACAUCUCUGCGCCGUUCCGGUUCAUGUCAAGCCUUGGUAAGGUGGGGAUGACGUUUUCUACG